Non-coding RNA from Phrynosoma platyrhinos (Desert horned lizard), 74 nucleotides. NCBI's taxonomy places the organism in Eukaryota, Metazoa, Chordata, Lepidosauria, Squamata, Phrynosomatidae. The record is from the annotation of a GenBank genome assembly.
GAUCCAGCCUGGUAUGGAGGUUUGAGUGCUGGACUACAGCUCCGGAGACCAGGGUUCGAAUCCCUGCUUGCCCA